This 1355-nucleotide long non-coding RNA is filed under the name Heterocephalus glaber (naked mole-rat). Its description in RNAcentral is "lncRNA (ENSHGLG00000034818.1)". The record is from RNAcentral. Lineage: Eukaryota; Metazoa; Chordata; Mammalia; Rodentia; Bathyergidae.
CAACUCCAGACCGGGCGGGGUGACUCGGCAGCCCCGAGGUCUGAAGGACUGGAAGAGCGAUCGGGUCCCGGAUGUGUGGUUAAAGAGCACCACAUUCACCCCGAAAGACUGGAGGUUUGCAGACCGGCAGGAGGCCCCUGGGGCCGGGCGUGGUCUCUGGACUAUUUUAAUGGGCCUUUAUGUCAGUCAUCCUCUGUGGGUACUUUUAGUUCUGCUGAAGAAUUUACAAAGUGUUUUCUACGGCAAGAGUUCUUAAAAAGGAAUGGUCACUUCUGCACCUUAGAAGUGCUGCCGAAGGAAGGGCCUGGCAGGACGCAAGCACCUUGAUAUUGGACCACCAGCUUCCGGAACUGAGAGCUGACUUCUCUUGUCUCAGUCUGUGGUAUUCUGUGAGAGCAACAUAAAAUGGACUGAGACCCAGGCACUACUCGUGAUUCUUGCUUGAUCUUUCCCCAUGGCUAAAAAUCUCACAGUGAGUUUCCCUUUGCCUUCUGAACAAAUCUCAACCUCUCAGCCUGGCGUAUAAGGCCUGGGGGAUUGGGCCUUCGGCCUCUUGCCCAGUCAUCUCUCUAACCCCAGGUGACCAGCACUUUCCCUCUCAGAUGAGUUUGGGAUGCUCGACUUCUCAGAAUCUCCAUGUUCCAUGUGGACCCAGGAAGACCGACCCACCCGGUGGAUACACUUUCUCCUCCUGAGGUCCUAUACUCGCUCAGGCUUGUAUUCUUCACGAAUUUAUCUCACAGAGUUCACUUAUGAUUAAUAAUUUCUCUCACUACUCCCCUAAGGGCACACCCGGGAAGACAUCCACCUUAUAUUAAAGGCCACUUCCCAUCUCUGGCAGACUGAUGGAAAACACUCCCCGAGUGCCUGUUGGAAGAUUUUGGUCUAGCCUGAGUGGUUCCACAUGUGAUAAUAGCUUCUGGGUGAAUUGCUAUCCUCUUAUUAAAUUGUCAGAAGGUGUUAACUUGUGUGUUUUGGUGCUUUGAAGGAUUUCUUUGUCAGUAGGUGGUAACUCAAGGCAGUAGGAUUUGAGCAUUGGCAGCGUCUUGUGUUCAGAUGGACUAGGAAAAGUGGUACCAGGAAAACCAGUGUCAUUCAACUCCAUAAAUUUCAGAGGAGGUGGAAUCAAUUAUAGAGUCUUCUAUUGCUCAUGAAGGAUUAUUAGUAUAUACUACAGUAGACCCUUGACUAACAAACUCGAUCAGUUCCUGAGGGCUGGUUGUAACUCACUUUGGUGGUAAGUCAGUACAGCUGAGAUCUGCAUGUUUCCCUGAGUACACGCUAUAGAUAACAAGAGGCAGAUGAAUCUUUCAUUAACCUAAUUAACCCAAGUUCUUUGUAUGUCAGGCCGGCUG